RNAcentral lists this ribosomal RNA (453 nucleotides) under uncultured organism. RNAcentral's name for it is "bacterial SSU rRNA". It matches the Rfam family "Bacterial small subunit ribosomal RNA", at positions 346 to 794 of the family's 1533-position model. The record is from RNAcentral.
GUGCACCAGGCGAGAAUUUUUCUCAAUGGGCGCAAGCCUGAAGGAGCGACGCCGCGUGGGGGAUGAAGGGUUUCGAUCCGUAAACCCCUGUCAUUUGCGAACAAACCCUGAGGUUUAAGAGAUAUCAGGCUGAUUGUAGCGAAAGAGGAAGGGACGGCUAACUCUGUGCCAGCAGCCGCGGUAAUACAGAGGUCCCAAGCGUUGUUCGGAUUCACUGGGCGUAAAGGGUGCGUAGGUGGCUUGGUAAGUUUGAUGUGAAAUCUCCGGGCUUAACCCGGAAAUGGCAUUGAAUACUAUUGAGCUGGAGGUUUGGAGGGGGACUGGAAUUCUCGGUGUAGCAGUGAAAUGCGUAGAUAUCGAGAGGAACACCAGUGGCGAAGGCGAGUCCCUGGACAACACCUGACACUGAGGCACGAAAGCUAGGGAGCAAACAGGAUUAGAUACCCGUGUAGU